GGGCCGAUGGUGGAAUUGGUAGACACGCUAGAUUUAGGUUCUAGUGCCGCGAGGUGUGAAGGUUCAAGUCCUUUUCGGCCUACCA
RNAcentral lists this transfer RNA (85 nucleotides) under Alphaproteobacteria bacterium. Its description in RNAcentral is "tRNA-Leu". It matches the Rfam family "tRNA". From Rfam's summary of the family: Transfer RNA (tRNA) molecules are approximately 80 nucleotides in length. Their secondary structure includes four short double-helical elements and three loops (D, anti-codon, and T loops). The record is from RNAcentral. Lineage: Bacteria; Pseudomonadati; Pseudomonadota; Alphaproteobacteria.